Molecule: RNase P RNA, 433 nt
Filed under: Chloroflexota bacterium
Lineage: Bacteria; Bacillati; Chloroflexota
Description: Chloroflexi bacterium (hot springs metagenome) RNase P RNA component class A
Rfam family: Bacterial RNase P class A
About the family: Ribonuclease P (RNase P) is a ubiquitous endoribonuclease, found in archaea, bacteria and eukarya as well as chloroplasts and mitochondria. Its best characterised activity is the generation of mature 5'-ends of tRNAs by cleaving the 5'-leader elements of precursor-tRNAs. Cellular RNase Ps are ribonucleoproteins.
Source: RNAcentral
CAGGCUGGUCGGGCAAUCGCGGUCCUGCGUUGACGGGAUCGAGGAAAGUCCGCACUCCUAUAGAGCACGGCGUCGGAGAGUACCCCGGGGCGGGGAAGCCGCCGAGAGGCGCGAACCUGCCGGAAUUGGGCCACAGAAACAAACAGCCCCGCAUUACGCAGGGUGAUGGUGAAAAGGUGGUGUAAGAGACCACCGGCGCGCGCAGUAAUGCGAGCGGCCAGGUAACCCCCGCCGGGAGCAAGGCCAAGCAGGGACGAUUUCGUCUGUGGACGAUGGGAGGCUGCUCGUCUCCAUACGCACCCUUCCCUCCUGUGGGUUGGGUCAGUCCCGGGUAGGCUGCAUCGAGCGGUGUGGCGACGCACCGCCCAGAGAGAUGAUUGCCCACGUGGAGUGAUCCGCUGGACAGAAUGCGGCUUAUAGACCAGCCUGAAGC